Molecule: long non-coding RNA, 382 nt
Organism: Fundulus heteroclitus (mummichog)
Lineage: Eukaryota; Metazoa; Chordata; Actinopteri; Cyprinodontiformes; Fundulidae
Exons: 3
Source: RefSeq, a predicted model, not a curated record
ACAGGCAGGACGAGUCUGAGCCGCGCGGCGCCGUGCAGGAGAAUGUGCUGCGGAGGUGUUGGAGUGAGGAUGUCAUCUGCCUACCUCAAACUCACAUAUUGACUACUGGACUCAUUCCAUUUCCUACUAAACUAUUGGGCUCUUCACUACCUCCCUGACGCCAUCCUCCAAUUCGACACCUACAUAUCCUGGUGUCUGGCAGACAGAUCAAGACAGCCUCCCCUGAAGGUGUAUCCACAGACUGUGCAGGGGGAUGGAAAAGGAGCAUCCAGCUGCUUGUGACUCAGGUGGUGGUUGGAGUACUCACAAAGCCGUGACUCUGCAUACCGUUUCGCAUGUAUACAGUUUAGCUUGCCCAACACAUCCGACACUGCCUUUACUG